Molecule: ribosomal RNA, 502 nt
Filed under: uncultured bacterium
Lineage: Bacteria
Description: partial 16S ribosomal RNA
Rfam family: Bacterial small subunit ribosomal RNA
Source: RNAcentral
GACGAACGCUGGCGGCGUGCCUAAUACAUGCAAGUCGAACGAACCGCGACUAGGUGCUUGCACUUGGUCAAGGUGAGUGGCGAACGGGUGAGUAACACGUGGGUAACCUACCUCAUAGUGGGGGAUAACAGUCGGAAACGACUGCUAAUACCGCAUAGGACAUAGGAUCACAUGAUUCUGUGAGGAAAGGUGGCGCAAGCUAUCGCUAAGAGAUGGACCCGCGGUGCAUUAGCUAGUUGGUAGGGUAAAGGCCUACCAAGGCGAUGAUGCAUAGCCGACCUGAGAGGGUGAUCGGCCACAUUGGGACUGAGACGCGGCCCAAACUCCUACGGGAGGCAGCAGUAGGGAAUCUUCCGCAAUGGACGCAAGUCUGACGGAGCAACGCCGCGUGAGUGAAGAAGGUCUUCGGAUCGUAAAGCUCUGUUGUUAGAGAAGAACAGCGCAUAGAGUAACUGUUAUGCGUGUGACGGUAUCUAACCAGAAAGCCACGGCUAACUACGUG